UAACCACUGAGCAGCAGGAUGCAGAAGCUGAGACACACCAGGCAGAGAGAUGAUCUUUUUCUCUCAUGGAAGUAGAGGCAAUGCUCCACUCAGGAGUCUCACGAGGGCAGAUCUGAUACAGCAGACUAUCACAUCUCUUGUUCUGAACACUGUGUCUCUAUUAAUAGGACCAAGCACAGAUCCCUGAGACACUUCACCAGAGACCUUCAAAGUUGACCUGGAACCAUGAAUAACAACACUUUUGG
This is a long non-coding RNA of Dromiciops gliroides (monito del monte), 245 nucleotides long. RefSeq lists it as uncharacterized. The record is from RefSeq and is a predicted model, not a curated record. The transcript has 3 exons. NCBI's taxonomy places the organism in Eukaryota, Metazoa, Chordata, Mammalia, Microbiotheria, Microbiotheriidae.